Molecule: ribosomal RNA, 93 nt
Filed under: Cyanophora sudae
Lineage: Eukaryota; Glaucocystophyceae; Cyanophorales; Cyanophoraceae
Source: RNAcentral
CACCCGAUCCCAUACCGAAUUCGAAGAGUGAAAAUUAUUCAAACCUCACAAUACUCUAAGUUUUUUAUUUAGGGGAAAAUGGGAGUAAAAUUU